RNAcentral lists this long non-coding RNA (342 nucleotides) under Citrus x clementina. RNAcentral's name for it is "Citrus clementina (C. clementina) long non-coding RNA (CCLE_LNC002601)". Lineage: Eukaryota; Viridiplantae; Streptophyta; Magnoliopsida; Sapindales; Rutaceae. The record is from RNAcentral.
AAAGAAUAAUAACCUCGAGCUUUAAUUGCAACAACAUACAAGAAUACAUAUAUUUCUUACAUAAUGGGAUAGCAAAUAUAAUAAUAUCUCGUACACUCAAAAUUUGAAUCUCAAUUAAUUUGACACGUUAAUAUUGACAGUAAUACAAAAUUAUCAAAUUGAUUAUGAAAUAAAAGUCAACAACUAUCUAGACACUAGUAAUUUGAUAAGUGUCUCCGUCAAUUGCCAUUCAAAAUAAUUUCAUAUGUGUAUAGAUAUUGAUGAAUACAACUUGUUGAAAGUAAUUUUCUAAUGUUUUUUUCAAGUGCAAAUAUUCUAAUGAUUGUCAAAUAUUUAUUAAGG